GCUUACCAUGCAAGUCGAACGAGAAAGCCCUUCGGGGCAAGUAAAGUGGCGACCUGGUGAGUAAUGCACAAGAAUCUGCCUUUCAGUGAAGAAUACCCCUGAGAAAUUAGGGUUAAUGCUGCAUAGUCCCGGCUUGCCGGGUAAAGAUGGCCUCUUGCUGUCGCUGAAAGAUGAGCUUGUGUCCUAUUAGUUUGUUGGUGGGGUAAUGGCCUACCAAGGCGAAGAUGGGUAGCCGGCCUGAGAGGGUGUACGGCCACAUUGGGACUGAGAUACGGCCCAAACUCCUACGGGAGGCAGCAGUGGGGAAUAUUGCGCAAUGGACGAAAGUCUGACGCAGCGACGCCGCGUGGAGGAUGAAGGCCUUCGGGUCGUAAACUUCUGUUAAGUGGGAAGAAAUACCAAGAAGUAAUAUGUCUUGGGGCUGACGGUACCACUAGAGAAAGCACCGGCAAACCUCGUGCCAGCAGCCGCGGUAAUACGAGGGGUGCUAGCGUUAUUCGGAAUUACUGGGCGUAAAGAACGCGUAGGCGGUUUAUUAAGUUGAUUGUAAAAUCCCUUGGCUCAACUGAGGGCUCGCGGUCAAAACUGGUAGGCUAGAGUACAAGAGAGAGAAGUGGAAUUCUCGGAGUAGCGGUAAAAUGCGUAGAUCUCGAGAGGAACACCGAUUGCGAAGGCAGCUUCUUGGCUUGUUACUGACGCUGAGGCGUGAAAGCGUGGGGAGCAAACAGGAUUAGAUACCCUGGUAGUCCACGCCGUAAACGAUGAUCACUAGUGUCGGCUUCGCUUGCGAGGCCGGUGUUGUAGCUAACGCGUUAAGUGAUCCGCCUGGGGAGUACGGUCGCAAGAUUAAAACUCAAGAAUUGACGGGGGUCCGCACAAGCGGUGGACAUGUGGUUUAAUUCGACACUACGCGAGGAACCUUACCUGGACUUGACAUGUAACUGCUACCGGUAGAAUACUGGGUUCUGUAGCUUGCUAUAGACGGUUACACAGUGCUGCAUG
This 1002-nucleotide ribosomal RNA is filed under the name uncultured bacterium. Its description in RNAcentral is "bacterial SSU rRNA". It matches the Rfam family "Bacterial small subunit ribosomal RNA", at positions 46 to 1047 of the family's 1533-position model. The record is from RNAcentral.